AUGAACGCUGGCGGCGUGCCUAAUACCUGCAAGUCGAGCGAACAGAUGAGGAGCUUGCUCCUCUGACGUUAGCGGCGGACGGGUGAGUAACACGUGGAUAACCUACCUAUAAGGCUGGGAUAACUUCGGGAAACCGGAGCUAAUACCGGAUAAUAUAUUGAACCGCAUGGUUCAAUAGUGAAAGACGGUUUUGCUGUCACUUAUAGAUGGAUCCGCGCCGCAUUAGCUAGUUGGUAAGGUAACGGCUUACCAAGGCAACGAUGCGUAGCCGACCUGAGAGGGUGAUCGGCCACACUGGAACUGAGACACGGUCCAGACUCCUACGGGAGGCAGCAGUAGGGAAUCUUCCGCAAUGGGCGAAAGCCUGACGGAGCAACGCCGCGUGAGUGAUGAAGGUCUUCGGAUCGUAAAACUCUGUUAUUAGGGAAGAACAAAUGUGUAAGUAACUAUGCACGUCUUGACGGUACCUAAUCAGAAAGCCACGGCUAACUACGUG
RNAcentral lists this ribosomal RNA (496 nucleotides) under uncultured bacterium. Its description in RNAcentral is "partial 16S ribosomal RNA". It matches the Rfam family "Bacterial small subunit ribosomal RNA", at positions 29 to 507 of the family's 1533-position model. The record is from RNAcentral.